Molecule: RNase P RNA, 434 nt
Filed under: Thermoflexia bacterium
Lineage: Bacteria; Bacillati; Chloroflexota; Thermoflexia
Description: RNase P RNA component class A
Rfam family: Bacterial RNase P class A
About the family: Ribonuclease P (RNase P) is a ubiquitous endoribonuclease, found in archaea, bacteria and eukarya as well as chloroplasts and mitochondria. Its best characterised activity is the generation of mature 5'-ends of tRNAs by cleaving the 5'-leader elements of precursor-tRNAs.
Source: RNAcentral
CAGGCCGGCCGGGCGGUCGCGCCUCGCCUUCGCGGCGGGGUGAGGAAAGUCCGGGCUCCACAGGGCGCGGUGCUGGGUAACACCCAGGCGGGGUAACCCGCGGACAGGGCCACAGAAACAGACCGCCAGCGGGCACCGGCGGCCGGAAGGUCGCCGGUGCUGCGGGCAAGGGUGAAAAGGUGGUGUAAGAGACCACCGGCGCCCGGGGUGACCCGGGCGGCCAGGCAACCCCCACCGGGAGCAAGGCCAAGCAGGGGCGAGCAGGGGUGCAGUUCGCUGCGCCCUCACGGGGCGGCCCGUCCCGUCCGAGCCCCGGGUAGGCCGCUCGAGGCGGCGGGCAACCGCCGUCCCAGAUAGAUGACCGCCACCCCGGCGGACGCGAUCGAUCGCGUCCCCACGGGGUACAGAACCCGGCUUACAGGCCGACCUGGGUG